RNAcentral lists this long non-coding RNA (1124 nucleotides) under Homo sapiens (human). RNAcentral describes it as "non-protein coding lnc-SLC16A1-2:3". Lineage: Eukaryota; Metazoa; Chordata; Mammalia; Primates; Hominidae. The record is from RNAcentral.
ACCUCUCGUCCGCCCCUCCCCACGGCGCAACGUCCUCACGCACAGGGGCCAGCCAAUCGGUGCCAUAAGAUGAGGUUGCGCCCGGGGCGGAACUCAGUGAGGGGCGGGGCCAGACGCAGCCGAGUAUCUUGAGGAGAAGGACUUUAAAGCGUUCAGGGAUUUUAGCUGCCGCUGUGGAGUUCCGCCGCUGUUCUUCCGCUGGAGGGCGCAGUAGUUCCUUAAGAGGGAAUGGUGCGGCGAAUAGCUGUGAGUUCAAAGUCCUGACUACAGGUAUAUCUACUGUAGUAGAAAAGGAUCUUUUAUUUGCUCUGGGCUUUAAGAAAGGGGAGUGGCAGAAGGGCUGCCUUCCAAGUCGCACACACGAAUGGGUCACGGGAGCUUCUAUCCUGGCUUUGGCCAGAUCGGCCUCCAGAGCCGAGCUCGAGCCUCUUCUGCCCCCUGCUGCUUGGCUGUAGCCCCUGCUCUUCUGCAAGUAGGCGGCAACUGCCAUUUGCAUAAGAUCAAUAUCACUCUCUGUUAAUGGCCUUGUAAGCUCCUGAAGGCAGAGGCCCUGUUUCUUCAUCGGUGCACCUCCACCUUUUGUUCUAGCUUGGAGUUCAAUAAAUUUUGGUGGGACUGCACCUGCAUGUCUAUAUAAAGGAAAUACCCUUCUCUUUGGAGGGAUGCUGUCAAGGUCACUCUCAGAAAAGCAAGCGAGACAAGAGGGUGUUGAGCAGUCAACAAAGCAAAGACUGGAUGUGAGGAAAUUUAUUUCUCCUAAAGCAGAGGCUAUGGAAAACUUACUAGGAACAGUGAAGUCUGGCCAUCUUAUGCUCAUUCAGCCAUCCAAGGUUGUAAAUAAGACUUUGAGAAUAAUAGUGAUGGUUCACUUAUACGUAGUGAACUUUUCAAAGGGCGUUUGCAUCUGUUAUCUUGUUUGCUCCUUCAGUGACUGUGACAUUGGCAAGACAAUUAUUGCUGAUGAUGCAACAAGCCCCAAGAGGUUAAACCAAGUUACUCUUGAGGCAGGGGCAGGUUCGACAUUAACAUGGGUUUUCUGACAUAAAUUGAAAAUCUGAGCAGGUUAAAAAGAAUGAUAAUGCCUAGGUUAGGGUUCUCAUAGAAAGUAACUGAAAGCAAUCUUU